UACGGAGGGGGCUAGCGUUGUUCGGAAUUACUGGGCGUAAAGCGCACGUAGGCGGCUUUGCAAGUCAGAGGUGAAAGCCCGGGGCUCAACCCCGGAAUAGCCUUUGAGACUGCAUCGCUAGAAUUGUGGAGAGGUAAGUGGAAUUCCGAGUGUAGAGGUGAAAUUCGUAGAUAUUCGCAAGAACACCAGUGGCGAAGGCGGCUCACUGGCCCGAUACUGACGCUGAGGCACGAAAGCGUGGGGAGCAAACAGG
Molecule: ribosomal RNA, 253 nt
Filed under: uncultured bacterium
Lineage: Bacteria
Description: partial 16S ribosomal RNA
Rfam family: Bacterial small subunit ribosomal RNA
Source: RNAcentral